CUCCUCACCUGCGCUCUCUGUCCUGUUCUCGCUCGCUGCACGACCUGUUUUCUCUUUCCGGUUUGCAUCGGCCCGUUGAACCCCACCUCCUCUCCUCCCUCUUCCCUUCUCGCCAGGCUUACACAUUCCUCUCGGUCGUUACUUUUUGGUCGUUCUAGCGGCACCAGUUCUCACCCUCACCGGUGCACCUUCUCUGUCUGCGCGAUUGCCGAUAGGCGACGGACCACUUCGUUCCCUGAGCACGUCCCCCUCCACACGUACGUGCGCGCGUUCACUUUACAGACGAUUUGUGUGUGUGUGUAUUUUCCUCAAAUACAUGUUUUUGUGUCGUUUUGCAGCUGCUCGUUUGAGACGAAGUGAACGUUCUGUGUGCAUCUUGAGAGUAGCAGCCUCAACGCUGAGUGGACGCCUCAGGUACCCGCCACUGUCUCUCCUCUAUCUUUUUUGCAAGCCUUCUCCGCACCGACAGCGGUGAGCAGUAGCGCCUGUGACACAAACACGAGCACACCUCACUUGUCUCGCAACUCCCUUCACAUCGCGCUCUUCUUUUCUUCCUUCCCCGUUCUCACGCCACCCCCUCCCCCUUUUCCGUUUUUUCUUUUGUUUUCACUCUUUAUUUGCCGUUGCCCCCCCCCCCCCCCCACCCACCCACCACCGAGCUGCUGCGCAUCGUCUCUUUUCAGUUUUCUAUUCGUUGCGUAACGCACGGGUGCCAUCAUCUCCAGCCGCGCAGCGCGUGGGCCGUUACGCUUUCUUGCUGUGCUUUCGCUCGUCCGGCCAUACUUACCCACGAACACAAAAGAAAACCGAUCAUGUCGGCUCCGCCGAGCUACACAAACCUUGCCAACGUGGUGAAGGACUACUUGACGAAGGGCAGCGAUGCGCGCGGGUGGCAGCUGGACGCGAACGAGAACGGAGCGCCCACGGGUUUCAACGCGUUCCCCUUUGCCAGCCCCAAAGCUAUUGGCGCUCACCUCUCCUACGAAUGCCCGAGCUACCACACGACCGUCAAGUCGAAGGUGUCCGCCGCGUUCACGUCUUGGCGUGAGUACCUCCCUACGAUCAUCUAUCACACCAAAGUCAACAACACGUCGAACGAGAUUGAGGUGGAUGCUGCUGCCACCUCCGUGAAGGUGACAUCCAAGCAUUGUGUCUUCAACGCCAGCUGCAAGUCGUCGCCGCUCGACGGGUUUGUGACGGAUGCAAACGUGACGACGCGUGUGUCCGAUCAUGUUUACGCUGGCGCGUCGCUGCAGUACGAUCCCAAGCGAAGCGGAGUGCGCGACUUCACCGCCCUCAUGGUUCGCUACGCCUGCCCACACCUCAGCAAAGGUGAUCUGCUUGGUCAGUACAGUCUGCGGAACGGCUUCUCGGUGCACAUUCGCGUCCCUAUUCACACUUACAUAGAUGCUGCCGUCAUGGCAGAGCGCAGGCGCUUUAUCGCCGGCGUGCAAGCCCGUUCGCCGUGCGGCGCUCGCCUCAUGCUCAACGCAAAUGUGUCAGACGGCACUUACACCAUGACAGCUAUCCGAAACAUGAGCGACAUCUGGAAGCUCACGGCGACGAUGACGGCUCCGUUCGCCUCCGGGGAGGGUGCUGCAGCGCCGCGCUUCGGCCUGAAGCUCACCAACAUGGACGCCGCUGACUAAGGUCGAAAUUGGAACAUCACCGUUGAGUUCUCGCCAAGAACCGUGCUAGAGGAUGACGGCGCGAGGCCCAAUCAGGAUAGAGUGAGUAGGCUGGAUCUAUUCAGCGUCCUCGAUAAACCAGCGCGCAGUUGUCAAGGAGCGAGUACACGGAAAAGCGUGAGCACCGGUAGGGUGCGUUAAGUGCAGCGCACAACUCGUUCUUUGGCCCCCUCCGUUUCGGCGCCGGCGAGCAUCGGACAAACAUGCUGUUGCUUGUUUACUUUUUCCGUGAUUCCUUCACUGGUUGCCCUAUGCGCCCUCCCUUCACGUACCUCCCUUUCCCUCACUCAACCCGCUCACCUACUAG
Molecule: unclassified non-coding RNA, 1995 nt
Filed under: Leishmania donovani
Lineage: Eukaryota; Euglenozoa; Kinetoplastea; Trypanosomatida; Trypanosomatidae
Description: gene:LdHU3.36.7160(CDS-product:hypothetical_prote in_conserved)
Source: RNAcentral